AUCAUGGCUGAGCAAUCUGACUCUGAAAAAUAUAAGGACCAACUUGGGAGUUUUAUCACAUUUCUGCCGCCCAGGCAUGAAGUCAGCUGGACUGCGCGUGACAGGGAGCGAUCCUCUUGUAAUUAGCCGGGGUGUUUUUCUUUCAUGUUCUGCCUAAAUUCGGUGUGCUGCGAGCGCGUCCGCUCCCUCCGAGCUGCCCCACAGCAGUAGCGGAGGAUGAACCAUGUGAAAGUGCCAGUUUUGUGAGUCACCAUUGUGUAUGGUUCAACCUGGUACCUGUCAGUUAUCCAGUCUCGUGUGCCGAUGUCACUGUCACCGUGAGGCGUGGUUCUCAUUUCUGAAUCUGGAUGAAUUGGCUGGAAGCUCAGGAAGGAGGUUUCUCUUCAGGAAAGAAAUGGAAGAAUAUAAGUGAUGACACACACCAAGAACACAAGACCUGCAGCUACUUACAACUUCUUUUAUGUGAGUCAGAAAUAAAUUUCUGUCUCACCCCCCAUUGUCGCCGGCAUCUUUUACUUAUAGUCUCAAGGUAACGCCUUACUAAUAUAGAACCUCA
Molecule: long non-coding RNA, 556 nt
Organism: Herpailurus yagouaroundi (jaguarundi)
Lineage: Eukaryota; Metazoa; Chordata; Mammalia; Carnivora; Felidae
Exons: 4
Source: RefSeq, a predicted model, not a curated record